Molecule: non-coding RNA, 30 nt
Filed under: Rattus norvegicus (Norway rat)
Lineage: Eukaryota; Metazoa; Chordata; Mammalia; Rodentia; Muridae
Source: RNAcentral
UUCACAGAACCAAGGGCUUUCCCUCCUAUU